GAUGAACGCUGGCGGCGUGCCUAAUACAUGCAAGUAGAACGCUGAAGGAGGAGCUUGCUCUUCUGGAUGAGUUGCGAACGGGUGAGUAACGCGUAGGUAACCUGCCUGGUAGCGGGGGAUAACUAUUGGAAACGAUAGCUAAUACCGCAUGACAACAGUUAUUGCAUGAUAACUGUUUAAAAGGGGCAACUGCUCCACUACCAGAUGGACCUGCGUUGUAUUAGCUAGUUGGUGAGGUAACGGCUCACCAAGGCGACGAUACAUAGCCGACCUGAGAGGGUGAUCGGCCACACUGGGACUGAGACACGGCCCAGACUCCUACGGGAGGCAGCAGUAGGGAAUCUUCGGCAAUAGACGGAAGUCUGACCGAGCAACGCCGCGUGAGUGAAGAAGGUUUUCGGAUCGUAAAGCCCUGUUGUAAGAGAAGAACGAGUGUGAGAGUGGAAAGUUCACACUGUGACGGUAUCUUACCAGAAAGGGACGGCUAACUACGUG
Molecule: ribosomal RNA, 495 nt
Filed under: uncultured bacterium
Lineage: Bacteria
Description: partial 16S ribosomal RNA
Rfam family: Bacterial small subunit ribosomal RNA
Source: RNAcentral